AGUACAUGGAAAGAUUAAAGGAAACUCCACAAGGAAAUGGCAGAGCUUGGAAAAAACCUCUUAACUUCUCCCUCCUGGGUGCCCCUUCUAAGCAGCUUUGACUCUACAGCCUGAUAAUCCAGAAGCUGAGGCUUGGCCCAGAUUAUCUCAAAUCCAAGCUUGAAAGCGCCUCUGAUGACUCAGUAGCAGAUUCAUUUCUGUGAUUACCUGCGCCAUGAAACUUAGCACAAACGACAGAACUGUGGCAUCCACACCAGCAAGCCCGCACCAAAACACCGUAGGCGAGGAAGGCACAGAAUGGUCAUCCACAUCCCCAAGUGGGGCCACACACUCAGAUUUCUGCAAUAACAACAUGCCCCGUUUGGCAUCUCACCUGGGAUGCCACAAGGGUCACAGAAAAUCAGAGGGAGGCCAGUGUGACAUGAACAGCCCAGAGGAGAGAGCGCCAUCAGAAACGAUGUUGUGUGGACUGGAUGGCAACGGAUACUGAUUCCAAUAAAAGCCAAAUGUGGGUGCUACUAUAGCAAGCUGCAUGUGGUCUUCUUUUAAUAAAACCAGAUGUAGCCAAACAUCAAGGUAGGAAACACUGUUCUCAAUCAUUGAUGUCUUUCUUCUCUGAACGCCUCCCCCUCCCACCACGCUAUCAUCUUG
Molecule: long non-coding RNA, 651 nt
Organism: Hippopotamus amphibius kiboko
Lineage: Eukaryota; Metazoa; Chordata; Mammalia; Artiodactyla; Hippopotamidae
Exons: 3
Source: RefSeq, a predicted model, not a curated record